CACCGCCGGGGCUCCCCCCGGCCGCACGGCGUGAGGGCUCCAGCACCGCCGGGGCUCCCCCCGGCCGCACGGCGUGAGGGCUCCAGCACCGCCACCCCGCUGGGGAACACACUGCAGAAAACACGUGAGCACACGCAGUCAAGAAUCUGGUUUUCCUUGGAAUGAAACUGUUCCUUUCACCUGUGUGAUGGGCAUGAAAGAAGUCUUCAUCUGAGUUUUUCAUAUUCCACCCCCUUCCCACCCUCCACCAUACCAGCUCUGUAAAGAAUAAAAGGAAUGAGACUGGAGAGAAACCGUCCUGGAAAGGAGGGAUGUGAGAUUUCACUUUAUUUUUCCCUUGGGACAAAACUGAAGGUGUGACUUGAGCUGAGAUCACCACAAAGAGCAACAGAAAGUCCAGCCUUAGGCUGAGCUAAUUUCACCUCAGGAAAGGCAUCCACCAAAUUAUAAAAGCAAGGAGCCAUUGUAAGGACAUCUUUCCCUGAGUCUCAUGAAGUGCUUUACCUGAACUUACAAUACUCUUGAAAUCAGCUUUAGGCCAAACAUAGCUCACAUAAAUUGUAAUUUUCCAUCCAAAAUUAACACGGUUGUUGUUGCCUGGUAGGGAUGUCAAAGGCAGUGUGAAUCUGCCUUUCAAGUCUGAGUCAUUGUGACAGGCCACACAGUCACUGCUUCUAGUUCUGAGGACAAAGACCUUUAGUUCUGAAGAGAAAGACCUUGCGUGUUUUCCAUCUAGUCCAAACCCUUCCGAUGACAUUCCUACGGAGACGUAACCUUGGGGAAAAUAUGGCUGUGUGGGCAGCAGCCCUUUUCAAUUCUAAUUCUUAAAAAGUAUUUCUGUCAUAAGAAAUCAAUCCUUCAUGGAGACGGCUGAUCAAGCCUCAGUUUUCAGAGAUUAAUACAGCUAUCCAGCAUCCAGGCAGGAGUUUGUAGUGCCAGUGUGGGUAGUCCUGCUGGGCAGGCUGUGCCAUGAACAGUUGGCUUGGUUGGUGGCUGGGCACUGUGGCACUGAUAAAGCUGCACUUUCACCUAUGGAAAGAACUUCAAAGCCAAAACCUCACGGACUUUAACAGUAAGUUAAUUUUGUAGUCCCACAUCUGUGUUUUAGAUGUGCAGGUUUACACAAAGCCUGAAAGCUAUCAUCUCACUGAUCAAUGAAAUCAGACACUGGUUCAUGUAGUGAAAAUGUGCCAAAAAGGAAGAACCUGUUGCCAGUACAAAGUUUUAUCAGACAAGGAUGACACAAGGUGACAUUUUUCUCCCUUCAGGUGCAACCUGAGUCAGUGGCAGAGUAACAGAUCCACUCUGCUGUUAUCCAGAGAUCUCAUCUUCCCAAUCUUCUGUAUCAAGUUCUUACCUCAUGUAACUCAACACUAUAAGUAAGAAAUUUAAGGUACCCAGCAGCCCAAUGUCAUGGCAGAGGUAGAGGAUGAGAUGAUUGAAAAACCAGGAGGUUAUGAUUAUGAACAGGAAACCUUACCAGGUUAUCCAAAUGCUACAUGGAAUUUUUAAUUUAAAACUCUUAUUGAUGCUGAUUUUCCAGGUAAGAAAAAAGGCUUAAUCAAGCCUGAGUACUUCACUUUAGAGGUGAACCUCUGCUACAUUCUGGAGUGGAGAAGCUGAGGAGAACAGGUGGGGUUUGUUACAGCCUAAAUUCUACUGUUACUUUUCAGAAUAUCCUUACAGCUUAAAGCAAGCUUGCCAUGAGCACAUUACUGAAAGAGCCAGUAUAUAUUGCCCUGCCCAGUUUCCUUCUCAGAAUAAUUAAUCUGAACCUGAUUCAGCUGCAGGACAACCCAGAUCCAUUAAAAAAAAUAAAAUAAUAAAUAAAAAAAAAGGUUUAGUCAUGGAAUACUUCUGCAUGUCUCAGCGGCAGGGUACAAGGAUUGCUCAGCACCAUUCCUCCUAUUUGAAAUUCAGCUCAUCACCUCACUAUUACUCAGUGUCAUGGUAACAAUUUAGCACAGCCACACAGCCCUUGCAGACCUUGCAUGUUCUGGUGUUCCCCCCAGCCCCAUUGUAAUACACACACACAAACACUCAAAUCAAGGCCUCCCAACUUUCUUUCAACUAAACAUUAUUUUAAAUAAAUAAAUAAAUAAAUAAAACCAAGUUUUGGCCACACCUAAUACUGCAUGAAUAUUCAGAGAUUAAAACACAAAGGUCUGUAGAAGUUCCUGCAAGCAGAAAAAAGCAAAUCCCGCCAAAUCAGUAAUCUUUUCAGACUGUUGGCAUUUUAUUUUCAAUGCAUGCUCAUCUGAGAGCUUCAGGUGUCUGUUUUCAACAAUGGUUAUUAACCAGUGAUCAUUUUACACUAAACUACAAAUUGUUGGGCUUUUUAAAUAUAAAUGAAAAAGUGUAUGUCAUCUGUUAAUUUAUUUUUUUUAUUAAAUGUGUUUAACAAAAACAGUGGAUUUUUUUAAAUGCAGGGGGAAAAAACUCAAAACAAAAACCAAAACCCCCACAUGCUUAGAGCAGAACUGUGUCUGUCCCAGACAGCUUUCGUCUAAUUAAUAAACAGACUAAGCAACUCUGAAGAGUGCUGUGUCUGCUUAUGCCACCAGAUGUUUUGCCUGUAUAAAAAUAGUACUAUAAACAAAUGUAAAAUUUGCUGCAGUCUCCAGGAGAAGAAAACCUACCAGUAAUAUUCUGAAGGGCAUUCAAAAGCUAAAUGAUGUGUUUGAAAAUGCACUGUCAUUUGCAGGUAGCUGCUGAGUAGAGGAUAUGGGUGGUCAAUAGGUAUUUCUUGUACGUUCUUCAGUCAAGGAUGCAUUGGGUUUCUCCACUAUAAAGUUUUUACAUUCUUUGCUCUGUUAUCAAUGCUUUACACUCCCACUAGUUUUAUGUGAUGUAACUAACAUCACAAAAAUACUGAUACCGUUUCACAGUCUAUGGCCAUGUCAGUUUAUCCUCUAAUGAGAUUUUAUCCUGGAGAAUACAGCUGUGCACAUAAAAGCAGCUUAGGAAAAGGAACCGGAAACAACUUCAAUCAUGGUAUUGAAAGCCUUAAAUUGGAACAAAAUUUAAAAGCAGAAUUUCAGCUUAGGGGAAUGCCUUGACCUGAACUGAAGAAGCAGAGACAUACCCUGCCUCCUUCCUCCAAAGAUCCAGCCUGUUUUUGUGGGCUAAGCUCUGUCAUUAUCCAAACGGUUUGUAUUUAAAGAAAACCCAAAACAGAAACAACCAAACCUCUCUCUCUUCCAUCCAAAGGGUUUAUCUAAUGUUUCUUUGCACUUGAAAGGAAAACUUUAAAAGUGCAGCAGAAAACACAAAUAUAUUAAAUUCAGGAGUGGCUUAAUUUUGAUGCAGGGCAGGGGAGGGAAGGGUGGAUUUUUACACCACUCUCAAGUAACAUCUAGAGGGUCUCAACGCCAGCAGUGUCAAAUUUAAGCCACCUUGUUCUGCAAGAUCCUGCUCACACCAUCACAAAACGGGAUAUAAACUAGCCUCAAGUGUAACUGGUGGUCUUGUUUCAGGAAAUUACAUGAAUUAGCAUUAUUUUCGCAUGCUGUAAAUCGAUCUUU
This is a long non-coding RNA of Poecile atricapillus (Black-capped chickadee), 3524 nucleotides long. RefSeq lists it as uncharacterized. The record is from RefSeq and is a predicted model, not a curated record. The transcript is spliced from 3 exons. NCBI's taxonomy places the organism in Eukaryota, Metazoa, Chordata, Aves, Passeriformes, Paridae.